AGCCGGAGGUUCCUCGAUUAACGUGACGUUGGGCAGAACAAGGAUUGAUUCUCCAAGUCUCAGGGCAGCCUGAAUACCGAGGUGAUGGUAACGAGGUAUUCUGCCCAACGAGCUUACGGAAUAAGGAGAGGUGCUCUGGAUCCUUGUUUUUCAAAUAAACCUGUUCGACUAUAA
Molecule: long non-coding RNA, 174 nt
Organism: Hemiscyllium ocellatum (epaulette shark)
Lineage: Eukaryota; Metazoa; Chordata; Chondrichthyes; Orectolobiformes; Hemiscylliidae
Exons: 2
Source: RefSeq, a predicted model, not a curated record